This 68-nucleotide transfer RNA is filed under the name Neucentropus mandjuricus. RNAcentral describes it as "tRNA-Glu". The record is from RNAcentral. Lineage: Eukaryota; Metazoa; Arthropoda; Insecta; Trichoptera; Polycentropodidae.
AUUUAUAUAGUUUAUAUAACCAAACAUUACAUUUUCAAUGUAAAAAUAAGAAAUAAUCUUUAUAAAUA